Molecule: ribosomal RNA, 498 nt
Filed under: uncultured bacterium
Lineage: Bacteria
Description: bacterial SSU rRNA
Rfam family: Bacterial small subunit ribosomal RNA
Source: RNAcentral
AGGAUGAACGCUGGCGGGCGUGCCUAACACAUGCAAGUCGAACGGAGCACUUUGGUUUGAGAUUCGUCAAGAACCGGAUUUGACUUAGUGGCGGACGGGUGAGUAAUGUAUGAGUAACCUGCCUUUCAGAGGGGGACAACAGUUGGAAACGACUGCUAAUACCGCAUAAUGUACAUUGAAGGCAUCUUUGAUGUACCAAAGGAGCAAUCCGCUGAAAGAUGGGCUCAUAUCUGAUUAGUUAGUUGGCAGGGUAACGGCCUACCAAGACUGCGAUCAGUAGCCGGACUGAGAGGUUGAACGGCCACAUUGGGACUGAGAUACGGCCCAGACUCCUACGGGAGGCAGCAGUGGGGAAUAUUGGGCAAUGGGCGAAAGCCUCGACCCAGCAACGCCGCGUGAAGGAAGAAGGUCUUCGGAUUGUAAACUUCUUUUAUGAGGGACGAAGGACGUGACGGUACCUCAUGAAUAAGCCACGGCUAACUACGUGCCAGCCGCAGC